This is a small nuclear RNA of Suncus etruscus (white-toothed pygmy shrew), 164 nucleotides long. RefSeq annotates it as U1 spliceosomal RNA. Lineage: Eukaryota; Metazoa; Chordata; Mammalia; Eulipotyphla; Soricidae. The transcript has a single exon. The record is from RefSeq and is a predicted model, not a curated record.
AUACUUACCUGGGCAGGGGAGAUUCCAUGAUCAAGAAGGUGGUUUCCUCAGGGUGAGGCUCGCUCAUUGCACUUAGGGCGUGCUGACCCCUGCGAUUUCCCCAAAUGUGGGAAACUCAACUGUGUAAUUUAUGGUAGUGGUGGGACUUUUAAAAAUUAUUUUUU